Triticum urartu is the source of this 115-nucleotide non-coding RNA. Lineage: Eukaryota; Viridiplantae; Streptophyta; Magnoliopsida; Poales; Poaceae. The record is from Rfam.
UUAAUAUUUCCUCCGUUCGGAAUUAUUUGUCGCAAGAAUGAAUGUAUCUAGAUGUAUUUUAAUUCUAGAUACAUCCAUUUCCGAGACAAGUAAUUCCGAACGGAGGGAGUACAAU